Molecule: small nucleolar RNA, 107 nt
Organism: Andrographis paniculata
Lineage: Eukaryota; Viridiplantae; Streptophyta; Magnoliopsida; Lamiales; Acanthaceae
Source: RefSeq, a predicted model, not a curated record
AUCUGAUGUUGAGGACAUCUACCAAUUAACUUAUUAAAUCGAUCCCAAUACUCGUAUAAAGACUCCCCUGAUAUUUGUUUGAUGCCACAAAUCUCUUUUCUCAAAUU